CCUACGGGGGGCUGCAGUAAGGAAUAUUGGACAAUGGCGGAGACGCUGAUCCAGCUAUCCCGCGUGCAGGAUGACGGCCCUACGGGUUGUAAACUGCUUUAGACUGGGGCGAAAAAGUGGGAUUUAUCCUACAUUGACGGUACCAGUAAAAUAAGCACCGGCUAACUCCGUGCCAGCAGCCGCGGUAAUACGGAGGGUGCCAGCGUUAUCCGGAAUCACUGGGGCGAAAGCGGCCUGAGGCGGCUGGAUAGAAAGGCCAUGGCUCAACGAUGGGAUUGCGUGUGAUACUGACGAGCUUGGAGUAGGACGAGGUUGGCGGAAUGUGGCAAGUAGCGGUGAAAUGCAUAGAUAUGCCAUAGAAUACCGAUUGCGAAGGCAGCUGACUAGACCUAUAUUGACGCUGAGGCACGAAAGCGUGGGGAGCGAACAGGAUUAGAUACCCUUGUAGUC
This 450-nucleotide ribosomal RNA is filed under the name uncultured bacterium. RNAcentral's name for it is "partial 16S ribosomal RNA". It matches the Rfam family "Bacterial small subunit ribosomal RNA", at positions 338 to 795 of the family's 1533-position model. The record is from RNAcentral.